Non-coding RNA from Wallemia ichthyophaga EXF-994, 99 nucleotides. The record is from the annotation of a RefSeq genome assembly. Lineage: Eukaryota; Fungi; Basidiomycota; Wallemiomycetes; Wallemiales; Wallemiaceae.
GGUAGAAUCCGAUAGUUGGUUAUUCGGGUCGGCUUAAGUAAUUUAUCUUAAGUUUUCCGGCUGCCUCAGGCGUCCUGGGUUCGAGUCCCAGUUCUACCA